RNAcentral lists this ribosomal RNA (253 nucleotides) under uncultured bacterium. RNAcentral's name for it is "partial 16S ribosomal RNA". It matches the Rfam family "Bacterial small subunit ribosomal RNA", at positions 524 to 776 of the family's 1533-position model. The record is from RNAcentral.
UACAGAGGUCUCAAGCGUUGUUCGGAUUCACUGGGCGUAAAGGGUGCGUAGGUGGUUGUGCAAGUCUGAUGUGAAAUCUCCGGGCUUAACCCGGAAAUGGCAUUGGAAACUGCAUGGCUAGAGGGUUGGAGGGGGGACUGGAAUACUUGGUGUAGCAGUGAAAUGCGUAGAUAUCAAGUGGAACACCAGUGGCGAAGGCGGCUUGCCAGAACGCGCUCGACGGUGAGGGAUGAAAGCUGGGGGAGCAAACCGG